This 773-nucleotide ribosomal RNA is filed under the name Planococcus maritimus. RNAcentral describes it as "bacterial SSU rRNA". It matches the Rfam family "Bacterial small subunit ribosomal RNA", at positions 19 to 776 of the family's 1533-position model. The record is from RNAcentral. Lineage: Bacteria; Bacillati; Bacillota; Bacilli; Caryophanales; Caryophanaceae.
AUGGCUCAGGACGAACGCUGGCGGCGUGCCUAAUACAUGCAAGUCGAGCGGAACCAGUGGAGCUUGCUCCAUUGGUUUAGCGGCGGACGGGUGAGUAACACGUGGGCAACCUGCCCUGCAGAUCGGGAUAACUCCGGGAAACCGGUGCUAAUACCGAAUAGUUUGCGGCCUCUCAUGAGGCUGCACGGAAAGACGGUUUCGGCUGUCACUGCAGGAUGGGCCCGCGGCGCAUUAGCUAGUUGGUGGGGUAACGGCCCACCAAGGCGACGAUGCGUAGCCGACCUGAGAGGGUGAUCGGCCACACUGGGACUGAGACACGGCCCAGACUCCUACGGGAGGCAGCAGUAGGGAAUCUUCCGCAAUGGACGAAAGUCUGACGGAGCAACGCCGCGUGAGUGAAGAAGGUUUUCGGAUCGUAAAACUCUGUUGUGAGGGAAGAACAAGUACCAGCUAACUACUGGUACCUUGACGGUACCUCACCAGAAAGCCACGGCUAACUACGUGCCAGCAGCCGCGGUAAUACGUAGGUGGCAAGCGUUGUCCGGAAUUAUUGGGCGUAAAGCGCGCGCAGGCGGUCCUUUAAGUCUGAUGUGAAAGCCCACGGCUCAACCGUGGAGGGUCAUUGGAAACUGGGGGACUUGAGUGCAGAAGAGGAAAGUGGAAUUCCACGUGUAGCGGUGAAAUGCGUAGAGAUGUGGAGGAACACCAGUGGCGAAGGCGACUUUCUGGUCUGUAACUGACGCUGAGGCGCGAAAGCGUGGGGAGCAAACAGG